RNAcentral lists this transfer RNA (69 nucleotides) under Rattus norvegicus (Norway rat). It matches the Rfam family "tRNA". From Rfam's summary of the family: Transfer RNA (tRNA) molecules are approximately 80 nucleotides in length. Their secondary structure includes four short double-helical elements and three loops (D, anti-codon, and T loops). The record is from Rfam by way of RNAcentral. Lineage: Eukaryota; Metazoa; Chordata; Mammalia; Rodentia; Muridae.
GUGAUGGCUCAGUGGUUAGAGCACUGGCUGCUCUUCCAGAGGUCCUGAGUUCAAAUCCCAGCAACCACA